GAUGAACGCUAGCGGGAGGCCUAACACAUGCAAGCCGAGCGGUAUUGUUUCUUCGGAAAUGAGAGAGCGGCGUACGGGUGCGUAACACGUGUGCAACCUGCCUUUAUCUGGGGGAUAGCCUUUCGAAAGGAAGAUUAAUAAUCCAUAAUAUAUUGAACGGCAUCGUUUAAUAUUGAAAGCUCCGGCGGAUAGAGAUGGGCACGCGCAAGAUUAGCUAGUUGGUGAGGUAACGGCUCACCAAGGCGAUGAUCUUUAGGGGGCCUGAGAGGGUGAUCCCCCACACUGGUAUUGAGACACGGACCAGACUCCUACGGGAGGCAGCAGUGAGGAAUAUUGGUCAAUGGGUGCAAGCCUGAACCAGCUAUCCCGCGUGAAGGACGACUGCCCUAUGGGUUGUAAACUUCUUUUGUAUAGGGAUAAACCUACCCUCGUGAGGGUAGCUGAAGGUACUAUACGAAUAAGCACCGGCUAACUCCGUGCCAGCCGCCGCCGUAA
This 495-nucleotide ribosomal RNA is filed under the name uncultured bacterium. RNAcentral describes it as "partial 16S ribosomal RNA". It matches the Rfam family "Bacterial small subunit ribosomal RNA", at positions 28 to 523 of the family's 1533-position model. The record is from RNAcentral.